UGGCCUGCAGUCAUAAUUGAUUCAGCAAGGCGAUGCUUUCCAACUGGCCGAGGAGCCUCCUAUGUGACGUGAUAAGAAUCCUUAACGGGCAAGAGGCAUGAGAAUGUCAGCUUCUGACCUAAACGCCUCCCCAUGACGCCUGUUUGGGGCAGGUAGCUCGAGACUGUGACUAACCCUGUUCCUUUAUGAGUGCCAAGUGUCCGCAGGGUGUCUGGCCCUGUGUAGAGAAGAUGGGCAGGCUCACUUGUAAAUAAUGUCUACAGUUGACAACCUACAAAUUAAUAUCUCGAGAUGCAACUUCUCCUUCAAAGUCUAGACUCCUGUAUUCAACCUCCAACAAUGCAACCAUCUCGAGUUCAACAUCUCUUCGACUGAAUUUCUAAUUUGCUAUCAUCCCUUGAAAAUGUGUUCCUUUUGCUACAUCUCAAUAAAUGGCUACUCCCAUUUUUCCAGUU
Long non-coding RNA from Canis lupus familiaris (dog), 455 nucleotides. RefSeq lists it as uncharacterized. The transcript has 2 exons. The record is from RefSeq and is a predicted model, not a curated record. NCBI's taxonomy places the organism in Eukaryota, Metazoa, Chordata, Mammalia, Carnivora, Canidae.